ACGGGGUGCAGCAGGCGCGAAAACUUUACAAUGCGGGAAACCGUGAUAAGGGGACACCGAGUGCCAGCAACAUUUGUUGGCUGUCCGGGUGUGUAAACUACACCCGUUAGCAAGGGCCGGGCAAGACCGGUGCCAGCCGCCGCGGUAACACCGGCGGCCCGAGUGGUGAUCGUGAUUAUUGGGUCUAAAGGGUCCGUAGCCGGUUUGGUCAGUCCUCCGGGAAAUCUGACGGCUUAACCGUUAGGCUUUCGGGGGAUACUGCCAGGCUUGGAACCGGGAGAGGUAAGAGGUACUACAGGGGGAGGAGUGAAAUCUUGUAAUCCCUGUGGGACCACCUGUGGCGAAGGCGUCUUACCAGAACGGGUUCGACGGUGAGGGACGAAAGCUGGGGGCACGAACCGGAUUAGAUACCCCUGUAGUCC
This 422-nucleotide ribosomal RNA is filed under the name uncultured bacterium. RNAcentral describes it as "bacterial SSU rRNA". It matches the Rfam family "Archaeal small subunit ribosomal RNA", at positions 325 to 747 of the family's 1478-position model. The record is from RNAcentral.